Loxodonta africana (African savanna elephant) is the source of this 3032-nucleotide RNA transcript. It is a transcript of the gene named syntaxin 1A, with no coding region annotated. The transcript is spliced from 10 exons. The record is from RefSeq and is a predicted model, not a curated record. Lineage: Eukaryota; Metazoa; Chordata; Mammalia; Proboscidea; Elephantidae.
GGGGCUGCCAGGCUGCAGCCGGCGCCGCCACUCCCGGGAGCAUGAAGGACCGAACCCAGGAGCUCCGCACGGCCAAGGACAGCGAUGACGAUGAUGAUGUCACUGUCACCGUGGACCGAGAGCGCUUCAUGGACGAGUUUUUUGAACAGGUGGAGGAGAUCCGUGGCUUCGUUGACAAGAUCUCGGAGAGCGUGGAGGAGGUGAAGCGGAAGCACAGUGCCAUUCUGGCCUCCCCCAACCCUGACGAGAAGACAAAGGAGGAGCUGGAGGAACUCAUGUCUGACAUAAAGAAGACGGCGAACAAAGUUCGUUCCAAGUUAAAGAGCAUGGAGCAGAGCAUCGAGCAGGAGGAGGGCCUGAACCGCUCCUCCGCCGACCUGCGGAUCCGGAAGACACAGCACUCCACGCUGUCCCGGAAGUUCGUGGAGGUCAUGUCCGAGUACAACGCAACACAGUCUGACUACCGUGAGCGCUGCAAGGGCCGCAUCCAGAGGCAGCUCGAGAUCACUGGUCGGACCACUACCAGUGAGGAGCUGGAGGACAUGCUAGAGAGUGGGAAUCCAGCCAUCUUUGCCUCGGGGAUCAUCAUGGACUCCAGCAUCUCGAAGCAGGCACUGAGCGAGAUUGAGACACGGCACAGUGAAAUCAUCAAGCUGGAGAACAGCAUCCGUGAGCUUCAUGACAUGUUCAUGGACAUGGCCAUGCUCGUUGAGAGCCAGGGUGCUUUCCUGAAGUCCUGCCCUGGGGGAGCCCUUGAGCUCGGAUCCCCCCCGGCCUGCAGGGGGAAAUGAUAGAUAGGAUCGAGUACAACGUGGAGAACUCGGUGGACUACGUAGAGAGGGCUGUGUCUGACACCAAAAAGGCCGUCAAGUACCAGAGCAAGGCCCGCCGGAAGAAAAUUCUGAUUGUCAUCUGCUGUGUGGUCCUGGGCAUCGUCAUUGCCUCCACUUUCGGGGGCAUCUUUGGAUAGAAACCACCCUCUGCCGCCUCACUCCGGAUGGUCCACCCAGGAGGCUCCCUGGCUGCUGCCGCCUAGCUGAGUAGCCCUCUGCACCCCGCCGCUGGCUCAGAGCACCCCACCCCACGUGCUCCUCUCUGCCACAGGGCCCUCCAUCCCCGCCCUGCCCUCAGCCGUGUUGUCUGCAUGAUCUCUGUGAGUGUGUGUCUGUACAGAAGAGGCAGAGGGGAGCCAGGCUGGGCAGCGGCCCAGGGGGUGGGGACAGGUGUCAGCACGGGACAGACUCAGGCCCUGGCCACCUCACCCUCACUGGCCAGGGCUACCCCUCCCCUUGCCUUCAGUGAUUCCCCUCGGGCCUGGGCUCAGCCCUCUCCUGGCACCAAGGCUCUCUCUGAACCACAGUCUUGCCUCCAACUGACCCGCCCUAUCCUCUGGCCUCUCCAGCUGUCCCAAGCCCAGCCCCUGAGGGGUGGGGACCAGCUGGCCACAUGGUGCUGCUUUUCAGGUUAGGGGAGGGGUGGCCCUGAGGGGGACAGCCCAGCUCUAAGCCUCUGAUAGCCAAUCACUGCCAGGGAGGCUGAGGGUACCAUGGCCUCUGGCCACCUCAGGACCAGGCCCCCUCCCCUACCUCAGGGCAAAACCAAAAGGUCUCCCUUGGCUGAGGCCCUGCUUCAUUCUCCCCUCAAACCCCUCCCCACACUCCCACAGCUCAAGAGUAACCCCUUUGGGCUAAGUCUGCCCCACAUGACCCUCUGGAAGAGGCUGGCUGGUGCCCUGUCCCAGUGCCCCUGGAGCUGGGGAGACAGACCAGACCCCGUCAGCCCCUGCCUGGCUGCCGUCCACAGCCGACCCAGCCACUGACCCCAGCAGGCCUUGGGUCCCCAAGCCAUUGUGUUGCAUGUUUGGGACAGUGGUCCCUGCUCUCAUGCUCCGGGAAGUCAGGACUGUCACUUCAGGCCUACAGUCACAUCCUACCCUUGCUCUCCCCCACUGAUGUGACACAUGGGCAUCAGAUGUCUCAGAUGCAGUAUUCAGCAGCCAGCCAGGGAGGGCCCCGGCCACCCCAAGCCUUCUCUCUGGUCAGCAAGGCCCCGCCCGAGCCCCUCUUCCUCCUUGACAGGCAGGGAGUGGGCCCUCCCUCAGCUUUGCACCUGCUGUGACCACUGUCCGCGUUGCCUUCUUCAGUAGCCACUUGACUCCCCACCUCCACCCCUUCACCAAAGGUCUUGGUACGACCAGCUGCCCAUUUUGUGGACUUUUUAUGUAGAAUAAACAUUUGUAUCUGUACCAAGCCUCUUCCCUGCAAUUCUUCCUGUGGGCGUGCCACAGCCUUGGAAGGUGCAGGUGAACGUGUGUGGCCCUGAGGGGACAGGGCUCGGAGGCAAAGGAUCUCAAACAGGCACAGGCCUUCUCUCAGGCCCACUCUGGCCCUGUAGGGGAAGUACCAUUCAGUGGAUAACCUUCAACCUUUGGGAGCUGACAUCUGGGCAAGACCCCAGGAUCAGGUGUGAGUUCUGGGACCCUGAGCCUCAUCCAUCUCGCAGGCAACCAGUCCCUCUGGCCCCGCCCUCCCACCUCCUUGGGGCCUGAGCCUGCUGUGUCUGGCACUGCCCUCCCCUAGUCCCUCUCACCACUUUCCCCAAAAGUCUCAGGCAACCAUAGACCCCCCUCCUAUCAGCCUGCUAGACCACCCCCCACAGCCCAGUGCAGGGCCUGCCCUUUUGGCCUCCAGUGAUCUGGCCCCUUGGCCAAAGGCAACUGAGUGCCGGGCUGCUAAGCAGCCAUGAAAGCCCAGCCCAGGGCAGCUGGGCCGGGAGAUGCCUUCAAACCAAAGGGGGGCCAGAGACUGGGCAGAGGUCUCAGGCGACAGGCACCCCUGCUACACUUCAUGCUGAUCACGCCUCCAACUGAUUCUCUUUAGUAUAGUAAACUCUCAAUUACAGAAAUCCACCUGUGUUCCUCACAAAUGAAAAGAAUGCUUUUAUAAACAUUCAAGAACUAAUUCCUGCAAUCAAACAGUAAUGCUACCAACAGAGGAACUCAGAAAAUAUGUUUGGGGCCACAGGGCUGGAAA